RNAcentral lists this ribosomal RNA (492 nucleotides) under uncultured bacterium. RNAcentral's name for it is "partial 16S ribosomal RNA". It matches the Rfam family "Bacterial small subunit ribosomal RNA", at positions 28 to 507 of the family's 1533-position model. The record is from RNAcentral.
GAUGAACGCUAGCUACAGGCUUAACACAUGCAAGUCGAGGGGCAGCGGUAUCGAAAGCUUGCUUUCGGUAGCCGGCGACCGGCGCACGGGUGAGUAACGCGUAUCGAACCUGCCUCAUACUCGGGAAUAGCCUUGCGAAAGUAAGAUUAAUGCCCGGUGUUUUCAGAGUCCCGCAUGAGGCUUUGAACAAAGAUUUAUCGGUAUGAGAUGGCGAUGCGUCCCAUUAGCUUGUUGGCGGGGUAACGGCCCACCAAGGCAUCGAUGGGUAGGGGUUCUGAGAGGAAGGUCCCCCACAUUGGAACUGAGACACGGUCCAAACUCCUACGGGAGGCAGCAGUGAGGAAUAUUGGUCAAUGGGCGGAAGCCCGAACCAGCCAAGUAGCGUGCAGGAAGACGGCCCUCCGGGUUGUAAACUGCUUUUAGUUGGGAAUAAAACGGGGCUCGUGAGCCCCCUUGCAUGUACCAUCAGAAAAAGGACCGGCUAAUUCCGUG